This 505-nucleotide ribosomal RNA is filed under the name uncultured Pelagibacterales bacterium. RNAcentral describes it as "bacterial SSU rRNA". It matches the Rfam family "Bacterial small subunit ribosomal RNA", at positions 90 to 629 of the family's 1533-position model. Lineage: Bacteria; Pseudomonadati; Pseudomonadota; Alphaproteobacteria; Candidatus Pelagibacterales. The record is from RNAcentral.
ACUUAGUGGCAGACGGGUGAGUAACAUGUGGGUAUCUACCCUUUGGCCUGGAAUAACACGAGGAAACUUGUGCUAAUACCGGAUAAGUCUUUACGGAGAAAGCUUUAUGCACCAUUGGAUGAGCCCGCACUUGAUUAGUUUGUUGGUAGGGUAAUGGCCUACCAAGACUAUGAUCAAUAGCUGAUUUGAGAGGAUGAUCAGCCACAUUGGGACUGAGACACGGCCCAAACUCCUACGGGAGGCAGCAGUGGGGAAUCUUGCACAAUGGAGGAAACUCUGAUGCAGCGAUGCCGCGUGAGUGAAGAAGGCCUUUGGGUUGUAAAGCUCUUUCGUCGGGGAAGAAAAUGACUGUACCCGAAUAAGAAGGUCCGGCUAACUUCGUGCCAGCAGCCGCGGUAAUACGAAGGGACCUAGCGUAGUUCGGAAUUACUGGGCUUAAAGAGUUCGUAGGUGGUUGAAAAAGUUGGUGGUGAAAUCCCAGAGCUUAACUCUGGAACUGCCAUCA